UUUACCUAUUUCAAGCAAAUAUUACUUGCGCUGCCUUGAUAAGCACAUUUGAACUUAAUUUGAGUUCUUUAACACUAGAUAUGAGCACUUUAUCUUAAAAGAAUCCAUUUCAAGUGUGGUAGUCUUAUUUUAAGCAAUAGUGUCAAGUUGAAAACGUCUCAUUUCAAGCAGAAAUUCACUUGUUAUUUUCUUAUUGCAUUAAAGGUCAUAAUUCAAGUUAUUUUUAACUAGAAAUGAGUUUUAACAACCACUUAAUUGCAUUAAGUAGUAAACGUGACCUAAAUCACUUAAAAAACACAGUCAAAUAUACUUGCGAUACUUGUGGAUUACCACUGAUCACAAGAUGCUCAGUCAGAAAUGUUGUCAUAAACCACAAGUUUUCCUCAAACUCGGUGGCAGGAUCGAAUUCACUCGAACGCACCCAACUCAAAUGUCGCUUGAGCUGCAUGCCAGUGAUGUGAACUGAAGCAAGUACAAGAGCUGUGCCUUUCGACUUCAAAAGCUAAAGAUGGAGCAAUUGGACAAGACAACACAGUCGCUUCUGGAAGCUGCACAGGCCAUUGCCUUGUUGGAGGCGCUCCCAAAAAUGUUCCCUUACCCAACCGCCCCUCCAAGAAAAGUCGGCAAGUGAGGCACUGUACCAUGUUCUUGAGCCAUCUGAGGACGCCAAUGUCUUCUUGCGUAACUGAUGACCUUGCCAAGGGACAUGCUUCUGGAAUCCCUCAUGAUACUGAUGGGAUGCUACUAUGUGUUCCAGUUAACAUAUUCCAAGUGUAUUGCUAGGCUAUUGUCCAUAAUACAAACAGAUUUUAUUCACGAGAGUGACAAGACGACAACAUAUAAAAAGGUGCUUGCUGACUGUCAAGCAUUCAUCCAAACCUAGUCUGUCUCUCCCUCUCUCUUUGUCAACCUCCUACUGUAUGUCACUCUUCUGUAUGUCACUCCCCCCCCCCCCCCCCCCCCCCCCCCCCCCCCAACUCUUUCUCUAUAUGUCUGGAGGUCAGGACAGCACACAGUAACACAACGUCCAAUGUAUUUCCAGCUACAUUUGUCAAUGAUUUGUUGUGUUGUUUGAUGAAUUCUGACUGUUUGAUGUCUUGCUGAAUUGUCAUCGUUUAUGUAGAUGUCAAUGUACCUUAUGUCUGACAGUUUACUUAAAUCAUUAUGUGUAAUAUGUAAUUAAGUACAUUUAAGCAUUCUGAUGCUUAUUAUUGUUCACUACUCUCAAAUGGCUGUUAUUGGUUUUCUUCAUUAACAGGCUAAUAAAACAGUGAUAAAUAA
This is a long non-coding RNA of Clupea harengus (Atlantic herring), 1281 nucleotides long. RefSeq lists it as uncharacterized. The transcript has 4 exons. The record is from RefSeq and is a predicted model, not a curated record. NCBI's taxonomy places the organism in Eukaryota, Metazoa, Chordata, Actinopteri, Clupeiformes, Clupeidae.